RNAcentral lists this unclassified non-coding RNA (566 nucleotides) under Hevea brasiliensis (rubber tree). Lineage: Eukaryota; Viridiplantae; Streptophyta; Magnoliopsida; Malpighiales; Euphorbiaceae. The record is from RNAcentral.
CUUUCUUGAAUUACUCUUUGGGCAAUAACUGGCUGUGAAGGACCAAAGAAUGACCCAUAAUUAUCGGAAGGAAGUUUUUUCUUUAUCUCGUGGGAUUUGCAAACAGAAGAACCAUUUUCCCUUUGCAUUUUCUUCCUAAUUUUCUCUUUAAUUCGUGCUCUUAAUUCAAGAUAUUCAAGUUCCUCUGCACUUGGCUUUCGCUCUUUUUCCUCCUCAUAUUCCGCCUCCUCCUCGCCUUCUUCCUCUUCCUCAUAUCCUUCCUCCUCAUAUUCAUCAUANNNCCUCAUCUCUUUCAUAUCCCCGCAUUGCAGUUUAUUAUCUCCACUGCAAUCAAUGCAGAGUUGCUCCUUACAACUACUGGAUGCCUCAAAUUUUCUCCAAAUUCGAUGAAAUCGGAUUGAAAUUUAGCGAUUUUUUACCGCGAAACCAGACGCAGACCUCGAAAGAAACCGAGACGAACCCAAACGCGAAGAGACAGAGAAAAAGCAAUCCCUUAGAUCUAUAUGGCAAAGAGACGGCGACCAAGGGAAAGGGAGACUGUGAGUUUAGGUUAUCGGGGAUAAAGA